GAUGAACGCUGGCGGCGUGCCUAAUACAUGCAAGUCGAGCGAACGGACGAGGAGCUUGCUUUUCGGAUGUUAGCGGCGGACGGGUGAGUAACACGUGUAUAACCUACCUAUAAGACUGGGAUAACUUCGGGAAACCGGAGCUAAUACCGUAUAAUAUUUUGAACCGCAUGGGUCAAAAGUGAAAGACGGUGUUGCUGUCUCUAAUCGCUGGAUCCGCGCUGCAUUAGCUAGUUGUUAAGGUAACGGCUUACCAAGGCAACGAUGCAUAGCCGACCUGAGAGGGUGAUCGGCGACACUGGAAGUGAGACACGGUCAAUACUCCUACGGGAGGCAGCAGUAGGGAAUCUUCCGCAAUGGGCGAAAGCCUGACGGAGCAACGCCGCGUGAGUGAUGAAGGUCUUCGGAUCGUAAAACUCUGUUAUUAGGGAAGAACAUAUGUGUAAGUAACUGUGCACAUCUUGACGGUACCUAAUCAGAAAGCCACGGCUAACUACGUG
This 497-nucleotide ribosomal RNA is filed under the name uncultured bacterium. RNAcentral's name for it is "partial 16S ribosomal RNA". It matches the Rfam family "Bacterial small subunit ribosomal RNA", at positions 28 to 507 of the family's 1533-position model. The record is from RNAcentral.